CCUACGGGAGGCAGCAGUGGGGAAUAUUGGACAAUGGGGGCAACCCUGAUCCAGCCAUGCCGCGUGUGUGAAGAAGGCCCUCGGGUUGUAAAGCACUUUCAGUGAGGAAGAACGCCUGGUGGUUAAUACCCAUCAGGAAAGACAUCACUCACAGAAGAAGCACCGGCUAACUCCGUGCCAGCAGCCGCGGUAAUACGGAGGGUGCGAGCGUUAAUCGGAAUUACUGGGCGUAAAGCGCGCGUAGGUGGCUUGAUAAGCCGGUUGUGAAAGCCCCGGGCUCAACCUGGGAACGGCAUCCGGAACUGUCAAGCUAGAGUGCAGGAGAGGAAGGUAGAAUUCCCGGUGUAGCGGUGAAAUGCGUAGAGAUCGGGAGGAAUACCAGUGGCGAAGGCGGCCUUCUGGACUGACACUGACACUGAGGUGCGAAAGCGUGGGUAGCAAACAGGAUUUGAUACCCCAGUAGUC
Molecule: ribosomal RNA, 465 nt
Filed under: Vreelandella stevensii
Lineage: Bacteria; Pseudomonadati; Pseudomonadota; Gammaproteobacteria; Oceanospirillales; Halomonadaceae
Description: partial 16S ribosomal RNA
Rfam family: Bacterial small subunit ribosomal RNA
Source: RNAcentral